GGCUUCCUCAACCUCAGCCCUCCAGAUGUUUUUGGCCUACAACUCUGAUGAUCCCUAGCUAGCAGGAUCAUUGGUCAAGGAUGCUGGGAAUUGUAAUCUCAAAACAUCUGAAGGGUCAAGGUUGAGGAAGCC
This 132-nucleotide microRNA precursor is filed under the name Podarcis lilfordi (Lilford's wall lizard). Lineage: Eukaryota; Metazoa; Chordata; Lepidosauria; Squamata; Lacertidae. The record is from RNAcentral.